RNAcentral lists this long non-coding RNA (891 nucleotides) under Homo sapiens (human). Its description in RNAcentral is "non-protein coding lnc-FAM135A-1:5". The record is from RNAcentral. Lineage: Eukaryota; Metazoa; Chordata; Mammalia; Primates; Hominidae.
GAACAGGUUGGCCUUUGCCAAGGGAAGCACAUAUUUUCCACCGAGAAAGAGAACGAUGAGGGUGUGCGUGGAAGCAGGUUAAGUGUGUAGACUGUAGUUGGUAAAGCUGAAAGAGCUCUUACUGAAAGAUUCUCCCCGGGGCCUGAAAGUUUAAGGGAAUGAAUAACUCCGCCCUCCUCAGGCCCAGUCCCAAGGUGCAAGGCCACUUGUGCUAGCAGCAUGCGUCAGCAAGAUAGCAGAAGCAGGAAGAGAGCUGGCCGGAAGAUAUGUACCCUGUGAAGACCGAGAGAGAGGCCGUCCAGGUACCACGUAGCAGUUACAUCAGACUGAGACACUUCCUGUUUACAGGAGACUAUAAAACCCCUGCCCCAUCCUCAUUUGGUGCUGAUGCCAUUUUCAGCCUCAGCACGCCUGCACCCAGGCGCUCAUUAAAACAGCAUGUUGCUCCCCACUGCCUCGUGUUGUCUGUUGGCGCGCUGUCGGGGUUCGAACCGAUACAAGAACCUUCCACCUACCUGGUGCUUUGGCCUCAUCUAUAAGAGCAGCUUUUCCACUGUCCUGAAACAAGAUAGAGAAUCUGAGACAUUGCAGCGGCCAGUCAUCUGCCCUAAGUGCUGCCGCCGAAGACUGAAUGUCCUGGAAAGUUUGCUGUCACAUCUCCAUUAUGACAAAAGCAUUGUGCCGAACAGAUGAAAAAAUGCAUUGUCAACGGAAUCUUUUAUGUUUGUUUGUCUUCCUUUAAGCAACAUUGCCUUACUUGUUAUAAAAGAUAAAUAAAUAUUUGUUCAUUUCAAUUCUGAUGAGUCUGUGAGCUGUUACCAUCAAGCACAGAGCAGCAACCUACUUUGGGAUUGAGAAAGUGGGAAAUCUGAAGUGAAAGUCUAUGGUGAU